RNAcentral lists this ribosomal RNA (485 nucleotides) under uncultured bacterium. RNAcentral describes it as "bacterial SSU rRNA". It matches the Rfam family "Bacterial small subunit ribosomal RNA", at positions 30 to 507 of the family's 1533-position model. The record is from RNAcentral.
AUUGAACGCUGGCGGCAUGCCUUACACAUGCAAGUCGAACGGCAGCACGGGAGCAAUCCUGGUGGCGAGUGGCGAACGGGUGAGUAAUAUAUCGGAACGUGCCCAGUCGUGGGGGAUAACGUAGCGAAAGCUACGCUAAUACCGCAUACGAUCUAAGGAUGAAAGCGGGGGGAUCGCAAGACCUCGCGCGAUUGGAGCGGCCGAUAUCAGAUUAGGUAGUUGGUGGGGUAAAGGCUCACCAAGCCAACGAUCUGUAGCUGGUCUGAGAGGACGACCAGCCACACUGGAACUGAGACACGGUCCAGACUCCUACGGGAGGCAGCAGUGGGGAAUUUUGGACAAUGGACGCAAGUCUGAUCCAGCCAUUCCGCGUGCAGGAUGAAGGCCCUCGGGUUGUAAACUGCUUUUGUACGGAACGAAAAGGUUUCUCUUAAUACGAGGAGCUCAUGACGGUACCGUAAGAAUAAGCACCGGCUAACUACGUG